Molecule: ribosomal RNA, 206 nt
Filed under: uncultured bacterium
Lineage: Bacteria
Description: partial 16S ribosomal RNA
Rfam family: Bacterial small subunit ribosomal RNA
Source: RNAcentral
CCUUGGAGUGGGGAAUAACAGCCGGAAACGGCUGCUAAUACCGCAUGAUGUAUCUGGAUCGCAUGGUUCUGGAUACCAAAGAUUUAUCGCUCUGAGAUGGACUCGCGUCUGAUUAGCUAGUUGGUGAGGUAAUGGCUCACCAAGGCGACGAUCAGUAGCCGGACUGAGAGGUUGGCCGGCCACAUUGGGACUGAGACACGGCCCAG